RNAcentral lists this ribosomal RNA (404 nucleotides) under uncultured prokaryote. RNAcentral describes it as "bacterial SSU rRNA". It matches the Rfam family "Bacterial small subunit ribosomal RNA", at positions 355 to 776 of the family's 1533-position model. The record is from RNAcentral. RNAcentral also lists the same sequence under 1 other name.
UGGGGAAUCUUGCGCAAUGGGCGAAAGCCUGACGCAGCAACGCCGCGUGCGGGAUGAAGGCCUUCGGGUUGUAAACCGCUUUCAGCAGGGACGAACGUGACGGUACCUGCAGAAGAAGCGCCGGCUAACUACGUGCCAGCAGCCGCGGUAAUACGUAGGGCGCAAGCGUUGUCCGGAAUUAUUGGGCGUAAAGAGCUCGUAGGCGGUUUGUCGCGUCUGCUGUGAAAACCCGAGGCUCCACCUCGGGCUUGCAGUGGGUACGGGCAGACUAGAGUGCGGUAGGGGAGACUGGAAUUCCUGGUGUAGCGGUGGAAUGCGCAGAUAUCAGGAGGAACACCGAUGGCGAAGGCAGGUCUCUGGGCCGCAACUGACGCUGAGGAGCGAAAGCAUGGGGAGCGAACAGG